Long non-coding RNA from Maniola jurtina (meadow brown), 1530 nucleotides. RefSeq lists it as uncharacterized. The record is from RefSeq and is a predicted model, not a curated record. Lineage: Eukaryota; Metazoa; Arthropoda; Insecta; Lepidoptera; Nymphalidae. The transcript has 2 exons.
CACAAAAGAAUUUUAAAUUUUUAGGUUCGUGUCGGAUUUUCCUAAAACCACGUAAACUACGGAUUUUUUUUUCCGGAAAAUCCUCACCAGGCUGCGCCACUUUUGCUUUUUCGACGGGAGCUACCGGGUUACCCUGGGAUUUUCACCAGGGAUAAAUGUACCGAAGGGAGAAAUUAAAGACGUAUUGCCGAUUUUGAGGCUACUUUAAUACUAAUAGAAUAUGCGACGCACCGUUGCCACCGUUACAAAAAUGCUUACAUUGAAUUCAACGAAUCUAAUCGAGAACGGAUGGACGAGCCAUAACUAGGUAACUUCUGUUAGAAGUGUAAAAAAGUGUCUCUAAAUAAAGUUAAACUCUGAAUUUGUGCUGUCCUUUUUCGCAGGGCACAUUAUGAAAGUGAUAAAAAUAUAUUUAGACCUGUAAUUUUAGUUUUGAGAUUGUAUAUAACAUUAUUACACUAUAAGUAUUAGCCACAAUUGAGAAACUUUUUAAGAAAACAUCAUAUACAAAACGUAUUUUAAAUACAUAUGUAAAAGAUUAUGUGCAACAUAAAUUAGUUAUAAAGAAGAAAACAAAGCGAACCCGAAAGUAGGAUAUGCAUUAAGUUAUUAAAAAACCCCACGAAAGAUUUUUAUCAUCAUGACCAGGGGGUGGUAUCCAUAGUACAAGGCCUGUUGAACGUAUAGAAUUUGUAAGUGUGUGUGUUGCGGAAAUAUCAGUGUGGCCAACUACAUUUUUUUUUAUUAACUUUUCCUUUUUUGCUCUAGCAAUACUUGAUUUUAAUGUCGUUUCUGUGUCAUCGUAACUCAAAACCUAGAACCCAGAGUCGUAAAACUGAUAAAAAAAAGGAACUUCUAUCCAGUUUUAUUUUCUGUAAUCCUGUGAUGGUGGUAUUUUUUGUUUUGUGACUGAGUAUUGUGAAAAUUGAAUCGAACCUUUUGUUGUGUUUUUGAGAUUACUCGCCACAACAAAACGUGUUAUUUCAGUUUGGCUAUUGGACCUUAGCUGUGCGCUUGAGAUUCCUCGCUACAGCGAAACUUGUUGUUUUAGUUUGGAUAUUGGACCAUAGUUGUGCGCUUGAGAUUACUCGCCACGACGAAACGUUUUAUUUUUAAUUUUCUUGAACUAAUUUAUGUGCUCAGUUGUUACAUCUUAAAAUGUCUACAGACAGUUAUAGAAAGUGCGCUAAAUGUGGAGCAACCCCCACUCAGGAUGGCAUUGUGUCAUUCCAUUGAUUCCCUAAACCUGGAAAAACAAAUGUUGAACGAUGAACUUCCAGCUGAAGCACAAGCCACAGCUACGCUCUUGGGCAAUUUUGACCAAUUAUUCGAUGCUCUUAAUGCGAAAACUCCAGAUUUACGGAGAGGGAAAAAAACCUCCACAUACAAAAACAUAUUAUGAUGUCCACAUUUUAUAUAUGCACUAAAAGUCAUCUAGUAUUGAAAAAUAGAGAGUUUGGUGAGGAAGAAACAGCGAAGUCGUUGCAAAGGAAAAUGUUAAUAAAGAAAAAUAAAUAAUUUAUAAGCAAA